Molecule: transfer RNA, 78 nt
Filed under: Marmota monax (woodchuck)
Lineage: Eukaryota; Metazoa; Chordata; Mammalia; Rodentia; Sciuridae
Description: tRNA.Thr
Source: RNAcentral
UGGGAUGUGGCUCAGUAGUAGAGAGCUUGCCUAGUAUGCAGUGGGCAUGAAGCUCCUGGGUUCAAUUCUCAGCACUAG